AUUUUCAAGAGUUGAGAAUUUGAGCCAUGUAUCAUUGGUGAUUAAUUUCUAAAUGCUCCUGAUCAAUGGAUCAUCACGAGGACGGUGAUCGAUCCGAUCAGUGCACAGAUCACUUUCCUUCUGGAUGGACGAGACUUGAGUCCACAGUGUAGGGACACUGAAGUGAUAGUGCAGGUGCUUGUUAGAGAACAAGGGUACUGAGCGUGACCAACACAAGAAGUCACUUGGAUGUCUAUCCACUCGUCAGUGACUUGCUUGAUGUUGCAGUAGUGUGACUAGUCCUUUGACCUGCGAUACUUCGGCUACUCACAGUGAGGUUAUUGUAGUUUGACUGCACAAAUGCGUGGUCUCUAGCCAUAUGGGUCCAUGCAGUGUAGAUUGGCUGCAGUAAGUUCACUGUAGGAGUAGGGUAUGCAUGUACAAGGAAUCUAUCGACCCUGAUAGAUAAGGAGAGAUCCUAUGUGAUUUAUGAGACUGAGUUCGUAAGACCUCGGCCGGGGCAGAUUGCAUAGUGGAGAAAGAGUUUUCCACUCUCGAACUUAAGUCGAAUAAAUUUUGACAUAUGACAGACGAAGGGGUUUGACGAGUUAUCCAUGACCUCCGUCUUGUAGGGAUCCACGAUAGAAGGACUGUAACACAUGACAACUGCACCUAGAGGUUCAUCAUUCUAUUCUGCUGGGUAGCCACUACAUGCUGCUAGGUGUCACUGGUGGAUGGUGGGACUCAUA
RNAcentral lists this long non-coding RNA (728 nucleotides) under Phoenix dactylifera (date palm). RNAcentral's name for it is "long non-coding RNA (PDAC_LNC012784)". The record is from RNAcentral. Lineage: Eukaryota; Viridiplantae; Streptophyta; Magnoliopsida; Arecales; Arecaceae.